AUUGAACGCUGGCGGCAGGCCUAACACAUGCAAGUCGAGCGAGCGGCGGACGGGUGAGUAAUGUAUGGGGACUGCCCGAUAGAGGGGGAUAACUACUGGAAACGGUAGCUAAUACCGCAUACUAUCGGAUAACCCAUAUGGGAUUAGCUAGUAGGUGAGGUAAUGGAUCACCUAGGCGACGAUCCCUAGCUGGUCUGAGAGGCUGAUCAGCCACACUGGGACUAGUACACGGCCCAGACUCCGACGGAGGCAGCAGUGGGGAAUAUUGCACAAUGGGCGCAAGCCUGAUGCAGCCAUGCCGCGUGUAUGAAGAAGGCCCUAGGGGUGUAAAGUCCUUUCAGUCGGGAGGCGUUACCGACAGAAGAAGCACCGGCUAAGUCCGUGCCAGCAGCCGCGGUAAUAC
RNAcentral lists this ribosomal RNA (403 nucleotides) under uncultured bacterium. RNAcentral describes it as "partial 16S ribosomal RNA". It matches the Rfam family "Bacterial small subunit ribosomal RNA", at positions 30 to 526 of the family's 1533-position model. The record is from RNAcentral.